Molecule: ribosomal RNA, 269 nt
Filed under: uncultured prokaryote
Description: partial 16S ribosomal RNA
Rfam family: Bacterial small subunit ribosomal RNA
Source: RNAcentral
GACGAAGGUGGCGAGCGUUGUUCGGAAUCACUGGGCUUAAAGAGCACGUAGGCGGCUUAUCAAGCGUUUUGUGAAAUCCCUCGGCUCAACCGAGGAAUUGCUUGGCGAACUGAUAGGCUUGAGGCAGGCAGGGGCAAGUGGAACUCUUGGUGGAGCGGUGGAAUGCGUAGAUAUCAAGAGGAACGCCAGAGGCGAAGGCGACUUGCUGGGCCUGUCCUGACGCUCAGGUGCGAAAGCCAGGGGAGCGAACGGGAUUAGAUACCCCCGUA